UAGGCAUCUUUUUCAAGCCAGUCAAAAUCCCUCCAUCUCCAUCUAGCGAUGAGACCUUCCGUCCGUACCUAUUUGAAAAGCCGCUUGAUAGCAGUUCCUUUUCCCUUUUUGGUUGAGGGGAAAGAUCGAAGACAAGACCUUCCAGGCAUUUCCUUCAAUCUUCUCCACCAGCGAGUGCUAGUUUCCCUACCAGUUGCCAGCUAUCUAGUUGAAGUCUUUUUUCUGCCUUUUUCAGGUAGGAGUCAAGCAAGGCAGUUUUCUAGCCAGCUAGGACUAGAGCAAAGCAAGGUCAGCCUGAGGUCAAUCCAGAAAGCCGGUAAGAGAGUUGAAACUGAGAAUAAGAUAACUUAACAUAACUUAAGAGACUCCAUUUUUUCUUUUCCAGCUUCUCCAAUUGAGUCUAUUUUUUCAGAAAAAGAAAGUGCUUUUGGAAUCACUCAACCUUUCGAUCAAGACAGGAGGGCAUUGCUUCCUUUCACCGAGUGUGGGCUCGAUCCCAUCUCUGGUACUGGUAUCCCUUUCCCUUCCUCUAGUUAGUUACUUGGCUCCCCAGACUUCUUCCUUCUAGGCGAGUCACCUUCGGUUCAAUAGUAGCGGCAUUCUUUUCUUGACUAUUUUCAUCUUUCUCUGAGUUGGCUGUAGCAUUGAAAACUCUUUAAGCGGAAUGAGAACAAAAUCCUCAGCAAAAGACAAGUCCGCAAUGGAAGAAAGAAACGGCCCUUCGAAGCGUGAAAAAGAAAUGCUGUAAAUGAGAUGACCCAGAAUGCCGAUCAAUUAUUGCUUUCAAGCCAGAGGCGAGGGGCAACGGCAACAACCGGGGAUGAUGUUGAUGCUGGACCAGUGUCACGGUCCGCGUGUUUUUCAUUUUGAAACCACGCGUCCAUGCGACAUUAAAACUACUCAUAAUCGAUGUCAAUCUUCUGUGAGUCCAUUUUUUUCCUGGAUAGUUUAAUUUCAAUCCUUCCAAUCGCAUACACAGGAGCCUUUUCUUUGGCUUUGACCCGUAGGGUUAUUCAUUCCGAACUUUAUAGGGAGGAACCCAACUCCCAUCACUCAUCAGCUCACGAUUCUCAAAGUGGCCUUGAGCACCCAUCUCGCCCUGCAGGGUUUAAGGUCUCGAGCAUUGACCCUUGAAUACUCGUGGGGCACGCAGCCUCAGUUCUCAUUAUAUUAUUACUUCUUAACACGGUGAGAACCCAACAGCAUGCCCACCCGUAUCGUACGCAAACUCUCGUAUCAAGUUUACGCAAGUGUCACACUUAAGCUGGUCAGCAGCCAGCUCAAAGCCUUUAGACUCAUCUCAUCCCACGAGACUCAGUUCUUAGGGCUUAGGCCAAUAGCAUCAGUGUAGGCCACCCACACGCAUGAUUGACACCCAACAUCAUGCUAGUCUCGUAAGGGGGACUUGGGUGGACUGCCCCAGCUGUAGCACACCUCUACCAAUUGGUCAUAAAGGUCUAAUAGUGUGCCUGCCUGCUAGCCCACACAUCCUUCAGGCUCGAUAGCAUCCCUCCUAUACAAACACCAUCUCAUGAUCCUUCUGGCUCAAGGAAGGGAAAUCGAGGGGCAUAGUAAACUUUACCAUGUAACCCCAUGGCUCAACGCAAAGGGGCGAUACGAGGCUCGUCGACCCCAAUCGUCCUCGGGUUUACCAUGACCCGAGGAAACAUCGUGCCACGCUCGUGACCCUACAAUGCCCGCCCACCUAGACACCACUAGUGCCUAGGAGUAGCUCACUUCAGACUAGCCAGGCCCCUACCUGCCCGCUAGCCAAGGGGGUGGUGAAGAGCUGACACCAGACAUCCCCUAUAAAAAGCGUAAGAGAUUUUUCCAGUCUCCUACCAAUAACCAUAAGAUUGUCCAAAAUGGGAACACUUUUCUCUCCAGCCAUCUCAAGACCUAUCUCUGGUUAACUCAGGGCCCCAUAACCUUCUUCUUGGUCACCAUUAUUCCUUAAUUCUACUUGUUGCUCCAUCAACCCACUCGAAGGUGCCCGUACAUGGCUUCAACCGACAGCACCUGACUGACUAGCUAGUCUCAAGGCACCGGUGUAUUGUCUCACACUUACCUGCGUAUCUUGGAGUUUAGGACUCAGACUAUCCACGCACAAUAUCCCUAACAUAUUUCCAUGCUCAGAAUGCUCGCACACUGCUUCCACUGAUGGCACCUGUCGGGUUAGUUGGCUUGAGGGUGCUUGGCGACUAUCCUGAACUUAUCCGUGUAUCUUACAGUCUAGGGUUCUCACUGCCCGCACAACAUAUUAAUAACAUGUUCCAAUGCUCCAAAUGCAUGCCCGCAUCUCUCAGAAUCACUUUUUCAUCAGCUUGGUCUAGAUCGCUACUCAGUUCAGGGUUAGUCAUGGCAGGACCAAGGCCUGACCAUGACACUCUCCCCCACUUACUAUGUCGAUGCCCUCAUCGACGCCAAGACCACACCCAACUCUCUUGUUGCACACAGUCGACAUUUACUCAUAUGUCUCUCACUUGUGCCCUUAAGGAUUGGGUCGAGAUCCCGUUACAUGGGGCACUACCCAUAGUACCCAUCCAUUGUUGAUGUAGAUUGGUCACAUACCAGCACCAAUGCACCUCUGCUCUAUUCCUACUCGAACCAUCUCACCCUAUCUUGGUUGCUCCAUAUGUGCCACAACAUUGCUUCCCUUUGAUCAUAUCACAUUGUGACCUUGAGGCACCCUCAUUGUUCAAUGACUCUUAGUAGAAUGAAUGACCACCCACUUUGCCACUCAUUGGUGUGUCCUACUGGACGUGACCCCUCACACCAACUGCACGCCUGCAGCAUCGACUCUUUGAUGUGCCCCUCUGGACGUGGUGUUUAGGUCAACCGCACUCAUACGGCACCCCACACGAUAGACCUUAGCACAGUGACAUUCAGGCACUUUGGUUAUCUCUGAACUUGGGUUCUCUCGACCCCUCCAAGGUCACCUCUCUAGGUGUGGCCCUCUGGCCAACCGCCCCUGAGACGACACCUUAAUGCGCGCUAACUCGAUCUCUGCUCCUAGCUCGAACACUAUGCUCUAUUUGCUCAGGCCCCUCUAUCUUGGCUCAAUCUCACAGGGAAAUCACAAGUCUCCCUCACUUUUACUCGAAACUCCACUAAGCAUUAUACGUAACCAUGUUUCCUCGAUGGAUCUACUGCUCGUCUGCCUUGACUCUAGCAUAGCUCCUAUGGCAUCUCAAAAUCCACUCAUACUCAGAAAUCCACUGAUUUGCUGACUCAGGGAUUCACCAACCCAUUCAAUUCUCAAGGUCCAUCGACCCACACCAUCUGAAGGCUUUGUCAACUGGCCAAUUCCCAAUUAUUUGUUCCACUAGAAUACACUCUGUCGUGGCCCUUCUGACCACCACUACAUGUGAAGCUUUCCCUCUUGGCCAACACAAACUCAGUUCAUUGAUUCACACACUCUCGUGAUCCUCUGACCAUGAGAACUCAUGAUCUACUAACCAACAUAGCUCAUGGUCCAUCGACCAUCUCGCUUGUGGCUUCAAUCUUUAGCCACUCCAUACUCUUCUAUGUAAGGACUCCAUGCUUGGACCCGAAUACUUCGGCUUGCACCCCCGCUGGGGCACCUGCACCAUACAACAAGUGCACACAUUAGUAAUUAAUUUUGAAACUCAAUACCUCUCGCCCCUCAGAACAAGAUUCACUCGACCCACAUGGCCUUACAUAACACCAUUUCAUGGUGUAAGCCCUUUUUCGCAUGUCUCACUACGAUUUCUUCCACCGUAAAGGCAUCACACGCCCCAAAACAUGCCAACAUCAUUUUCUAGGUGAGGCCAGACUCCGAUGCCCUUUUGCUUGGCAUCCAAGAGCCCACUCGAGAGCUUUUUUACAUAGGCUCAAUUUUUCUUGCAGCACGCAUCGUUGACUCCUUUCCAAGCCCCCAUAGCCACAUAACCACAUUUGCAUCUUGAUAGCUCAUUUUGACCUUGGCACCACCUCUAUUUCACAUCACCAGGCCCAUACAUGGGGUCAUGUAAAUCUCACCACUGAGCCAAACCAAGGCUCUGAUACCACAUGUCACGGUCUGCAUAUUUCUCAUUCUGAAACCACGUGUCCGUGCGGCACCAAGACUACUCAUAAUCGAUGUCAGCCUUUCGUGAGUCCAUUAUUUUUCUGGACAGCUUAAUUUCGAUCCUUCUAGCCAUAUACACAUGAGCCUUUUCUUUGUCUUUAACCCCAUAAGGUUACUCAUUCUAAACUUUAUAAGGAGGAACCCAACUCCCAUCACUCAUCGGUCCAUAAUUAUCAAAGUGGCCCCGAACACCCAUCUUUGCCUGCAGGGCUUAAGGUCUCGAGCGUCGACCCUUGAAUACUCGUGGGGCACGCAGCCUCGGUUCUCAUGAUAUUAUUACUUCUUGACAUGGUGAGAACCUAAUACCAUACCCGUUUAUAUCAUAGCAAACUCUCGUAUCAAGUUUACAUAAGCGUCACACUUAAGCUAGUCAGCAGCCAGCUCGGAGCCUCUAGGCUCAUCUCAUCCAACGGGACUCAGUUCUUAGGGCUUAGCCCUUAGCAUCAAUGUAAGCUGCCUGCACGCAUGAUUGACACCCAACAUCAUGCUAGUACUGUAAAUGAGACUUGGGUGGACUGCCCCAGCUGCAGCACACCUCUAUCAAUUGGCCAUAAGGGUCUGACAGCGUGCCUACCUACUAGCCCACACUCAAUGGCAUUCUUCCUACGCAAACACCAUCUCAUGAUCCUUCUAGCUCAAGGAAGAGAAAUCGAGGGCAUCAUAAACUUUACCAUGUAACCCCAUGGCUCAACGAAAAGCACGAUAUGAGGCCUACUGGCCCUAACCAUUUUCGGGUUUACCAUGACCCGAGGAAACAUCAUGCCACGCUCGUGACCUUACGAUACCCGUCCACCUAGACACCAUUAGUACCUAAGAAUAGCUCACUUCAGACUAGCCAGGCCUCUGCCUACCCUCUAACCAAGGGGGUGGUAGAGAGCUGACACUAGACAUCCCCCCUAUAAAGAGAGUAAGAGAUUUUCUCAAUCUCCUACCAGUAACCAUAAGAUUGUCCGAAAUGGAGACACUUUUCUCUCCAGCCAUCUCAAGACCUUUCUCUGGCUAACUCAAGGCCCCAUAACCUUCUUCUUGGUCACCAUUAUUCCUUGAUUCUACUUGUUGCUCCACCAACCCACUCAAAGGUGCCCGCAUAUGGCUUCGAUCGACAGCACCUGAUUGGCUAGCUGGUCCCAAGGCACUGGCGCACUGCCUCACACUUACCUACGUAUCUUGAGGUUUAGGACUCAGACUAUCCACGCACAAUAUCUUUAAUUUAUUCUCAUGCUCAGAAUGCCCGCACACUGCUUCCAUUAAUGGCACUCACCGAGCUACUUGGCUUAAGGGUGCUUGACCACUGUCCUGAAUUUACCUGCGUAUCUUGCAGUCUAGGGCUACCACUGCCCGUAUAACAUAUUAGUAACAAGUUCCAAUGCUCCAAAUGCAUGCCCACAUCUCUUAGAACCACUUUUCUGCUAGCUUGGUCUCGAUCGUUGCUCAGUUCAAGGUCAGUCAUGACAGGACCAAGGCUUGACCAUGAUAACCAGCUUAUUCACUUAUUCACCCGAUGAUCAAAAGAGAUUCCCAGAAAACUAGGGCCUGAGAGAGUCCUAGUUGGAAGGCGAAUGAAAACCCCCCAGCCAUUCGCCUUGAGAACCCCUGAUGAGCCCACCAGCUCCAGCCCACCGAGAUGACACUUCCAUCAAAGUUAAGCUUGACCCAGUCCCCUGUCGGCGGCUCCCAUCUGACAAGAACUAUAACUUCUUCUCGGUCUUUACUGGGGGCCUGCACUACUUCAUUGCAGGUUCGACUGAUGAGGUACUUCAGGCUGAUUCUACUGCCUUGCUUUCAAAGACAAAUCUGUUGCAGGCCUGACAAAAAAAAACUAGAGAC
This 5917-nucleotide long non-coding RNA is filed under the name Durio zibethinus. Its description in RNAcentral is "long non-coding RNA (DZIB_LNC001058)". Lineage: Eukaryota; Viridiplantae; Streptophyta; Magnoliopsida; Malvales; Malvaceae. The record is from RNAcentral.